RNAcentral lists this microRNA (22 nucleotides) under Pongo pygmaeus (Bornean orangutan). RNAcentral's name for it is "ppy-miR-4774". The record is from miRBase by way of RNAcentral. Lineage: Eukaryota; Metazoa; Chordata; Mammalia; Primates; Hominidae. RNAcentral also lists the same sequence under 1 other name.
UCUGGUAUGUAGUAGGUAAUAA